Molecule: ribosomal RNA, 253 nt
Filed under: uncultured bacterium
Lineage: Bacteria
Description: partial 16S ribosomal RNA
Rfam family: Bacterial small subunit ribosomal RNA
Source: RNAcentral
UACGAAGGGGGCUAGCGUUGCUCGGAAUCACUGGGCGUAAAGGGUGCGUAGGCGGGUCUUUAAGUCAGGGGUGAAAUCCUGGAGCUCAACUCCAGAACUGCCUUUGAUACUGAGGAUCUUGAGUUCGGGAGAGGUGAGUGGAACUGCGAGUGUAGAGGUGAAAUUCGUAGAUAUUCGCAAGAACACCAGUGGCGAAGGCGGCUCGCUGGAACGGUACUGACGCUGAGACGCGAAAGCGUGGGGAGCAAACAGG